This 1456-nucleotide ribosomal RNA is filed under the name uncultured Bordetella sp. RNAcentral describes it as "partial 16S-23S ribosomal RNA intergenic spacer". It matches the Rfam family "Bacterial small subunit ribosomal RNA". The record is from RNAcentral. Lineage: Bacteria; Pseudomonadati; Pseudomonadota; Betaproteobacteria; Burkholderiales; Alcaligenaceae.
GGUUUGAUUAUGGCUCAGAUUGGACGCUGGCGGGAUGCUUUACGCUGGUCGAGCAGCUGCGGACUUCAGGUCGGUGGCGAGUGGCGAACAGGUGAGUAAUGUAUCGGAACGUGCCUAGUAGCAGGGGAUAACUACGCAUGUGUAUACAUGCCCUUCGGGGAAAACGGGGGGACCUUCGGGCCUCGCACUAUUAGAGCGGCCGAUAUCGGAUUAGCUAGUUGGUGGGGUAACGGCUCACCAAGGCGACGAUCCGUAGCUGGUUUGAGAGGACGACCAGCCACACUGGGACUGAGACACGGCCCAGACUCCUGCAGGAGGCAGUGGGGAAUUUUGGACAAUGGGAAACCUGAUCCGGCCAUCCGCGUGUGCGAUGAAGGCCUUCGGGUUGUAAAAGCACUUUUGGCAGGAAAAGCGGCACGGGAUAAUACCCCGUGCAACUAACAGUACCUGCAGAAUAAGCACCGGCUAACUACGUACCAGCAGCCGCGGUAAUACGUAGGGUCACAAGCGUUAAUCGGAAUUACUGGGCGUAAAGCGUGCGCAGGCGGUUCGGAAAGAAAGAUGUGAAAUCCCAGAGCUUAACUUUGGAACUGCAUUUUUAACUACCAGAGCUAGAGAGUGUGUCCAGAGGUGGAAUUCCGCGUGUAGCAGUGAAAUGCGUAGAUAUGCGGAGGAACACCGAUGGCGAAGGCAGCCUCCUGGGAUAACACUGACGCUCAUGCACGAAAGCGUGGGGAGCAAACAGGAUUAGAUACCCUGGUAGUCCACGCCCUAAACGAUGUCAACUAGCUGUUGGGGCCUUCGGGCUGGUAGCGCAACUAACGCGUGAAGUUGACCGCCUGGGGAAGUACGGUCGCAAGAUUAAAACUCAAAGGAAUUGACGGGGACCCACCAAGCGGUGGAUGAUGUGGAUUAAUUCGAUGCAACGCGAAAAACCUUACCUACCCUUGACAUGUCUGGAAUCCCGAAGAGAUUUAGGAGUGCUCGCAAGAGAACCGGAACACAGGUGCUGCAUGGCUGUCGUCAGCUCGUGUCGUGGAGAUGUUGGGUUAGAAGUCACAACGAGCGCAACCCUUGUCAUUAGUUGCUACGAAAGGGCACUCUAAUGAGACUGCCGGUGACAAACCGGAGGAAGGUGGGGAUGACGUCAAGUCCUCAUGGCCCUUAUGGGUAGGGCUUCACACGUCAUACAAUGGUCGGGACAGAGGGUCGCCAACCCGCGAGGAGCCAAUCCGAAGCCCGAUCGUAGUCCGGAUCGCAGUCUGCAACUCGACUGCGUGAAGUCGGAAUCGCUAUUAAUCGCGGAUCAGCAUGUCGCGGUGAAUACGUUCCCGGGUCUUGUACACCGCCCGUCACACCAUGGGAGUGGGUUUUACCAAGUAGUUAGCCUAACCGUAAGAGGAGGGCGAUUACCACGGUAAGUUCAUGACUGGGGUGAAGUCGUAACAAGAAUGGC